UACUACAUAACCCCUCUCUGGUUUCCCUUCACCAACUUGUAGUACCAAAGCAGACAAUUCUUAUGUAUUUUACUCCAUACGCUAGCUGAAGAAGCUACUACGACGAUCGAACGGACAACAAGGUUAGCACGGCAACAAGAACAGGGACACCAGGUAAAUCCUUUCGGCCAAGCCCGGCAGCCGGGGAUCAAUCACAGCACCUUGAUGGCAUCGACCGCGCAGUGGCGAGGAGGCCCGAUGCUGAGCUCCAGGAUGCUGCUGGGAGAGGAAGACAUUG
RNAcentral lists this long non-coding RNA (277 nucleotides) under Hordeum vulgare. Its description in RNAcentral is "long non-coding RNA (HVUL_LNC001609)". The record is from RNAcentral. Lineage: Eukaryota; Viridiplantae; Streptophyta; Magnoliopsida; Poales; Poaceae.